AACGAACGCUGGCGGCAGGCUUAACACAUGCAAGUCGAACGCCCCGCCAGGGGAGUGGCAGACGGGUGAGUACCGCGUGGGAACAUACCCUUUUCUACGGAAUAGCUCUGGGAAACUGGAAUUAAUACCGUAUACGCCCUACGGGGGAAAGAUUUAUCGGGGAAGGAUUGGCCCGCGUUGGAUUAGCUAGUUGGUGGGGUAAAGGCCUACCAAGGCGACGAUACAUAGCUGGUCUGAGAGGAUGAUCAGCCACAUUGGGACUGAGACACGGCCCAAACUCCUACGGGAGGCAGCAGUGGGGAAUAUUGGAAAAUGGGCGCAAGCCUGAUCCAGCCAUGCCGCGUGAGUGAUGAAGGCCUUAGGGUUGUAAAGCUCUUUCACCGAUGAAGAUAAUGACGGUAGUCGGAGAAGAAGCCCCGGCUAACUUCGUG
Molecule: ribosomal RNA, 431 nt
Filed under: uncultured bacterium
Lineage: Bacteria
Description: partial 16S ribosomal RNA
Rfam family: Bacterial small subunit ribosomal RNA
Source: RNAcentral